GACGAACCGUGCGAACGUUGUUCGGAAUCACUGGGCUUAGAGGGCGCGUAGGCGGGCGGUCAAGUCCGGGGUGAAAUCUUUCGGCUCAACCGGACAAUUGCCUUGGAUACUGGCCGUCUAGAGGGUGGUAGGGGCAUGUGGAACUUCCGGUGGAGCGGUGAAAUGUGUUGAUAUCGGAAGGAACACCGGUGGCGAAAGCGACGUGCUGGACCUCUUCUGACGCUGAGGCGCGAAAGCCA
This 239-nucleotide ribosomal RNA is filed under the name uncultured bacterium. RNAcentral describes it as "partial 16S ribosomal RNA". It matches the Rfam family "Bacterial small subunit ribosomal RNA", at positions 524 to 762 of the family's 1533-position model. The record is from RNAcentral.